This 1034-nucleotide ribosomal RNA is filed under the name Phyllosticta capitalensis. RNAcentral describes it as "SSU rRNA". It matches the Rfam family "Eukaryotic small subunit ribosomal RNA", at positions 61 to 1093 of the family's 1831-position model. Lineage: Eukaryota; Fungi; Ascomycota; Dothideomycetes; Botryosphaeriales; Phyllostictaceae. The record is from RNAcentral.
GAGUCUAGUUAGCAUCUAUACUGUGAAACUGCGAAUGGCUCAUUAAAUCAGUUAUCGUUUAUUUGAUAGUACCUUACUACUUGGAUAACCGUGGUAAUUCUAGAGCUAAUACAUGCUAAAAACCCCGACUUCGGAAGGGGUGUAUUUAUUAGAUAAAAAACCAAUGCCCUUCGGGGCUCCUUGGUGAAUCAUGAUAACUUAACGAAUCGCAUGGCCUUGCGCCGGCGAUGGUUCAUUCAAAUUUCUGCCCUAUCAACUUUCGAUGGUAGGAUAGUGGCCUACCAUGGUAGCAACGGGUAACGGGGAAUUAGGGUUCUAUUCCGGAGAGGGAGCCUGAGAAACGGCUACCACAUCCAAGGAAGGCAGCAGGCGCGCAAAUUACCCAAUCCCGACACGGGGAGGUAGUGACAAUAAAUACUGAUACAGGGCUCUUUCGAGUCUUGUAAUUGGAAUGAGUACAAUUUAAAUACCUUAACGAGGAACAAUUGGAGGGCAAGUCUGGUGCCAGCAGCCGCGGUAAUUCCAGCUCCAAUAGCGUAUAUUAAAGUUGUUGCAGUUAAAAAGCUCGUAGUUGAACCUUGGGCCUGGCUGGCCGGUCCGCCUCACCGCGUGUACUGGUUCGGCCGGGCCUUUCCUUCUGGGGAUCCGCAUGCCCUUCACUGGGUGUGUCGGGGAACCAGGACUUUUACUUUGAAAAAAUUAGAGUGUUCAAAGCAGGCCUUUGCUCGAAUACAUUAGCAUGGAAUAAUAGAAUAGGGACGUGCGGUCCUAUUUUUGUUGGUUUCUAGGACCGCCGUAAUGAUUAAUAGGGGAUAGUCGGGGGGCAUCAGUAUUCAAUUGUCAGAGGUGAAAUUCUUGGAAUUUAUUGAAGACUAACUACUGCGAAAGAUUUUGCCAAGGAUGUUUUCAUUAAUCAGUGAACGAAAGUUAGGGGGAUCGAAGACGAUCAAAAUACCGUCGUAGUCUUAACCGUAACUAUGCCGACUAGGGGAUCGGGGCGAUGUUAUUAUUUUGACUCGCUCGGCACUUACGAA